CGGGAGGCAGCAGUAGGGAAUAUUGGGCAAUGGGCGGAGGCCUGACCCAGCCAUGCCGCGUGCAGGAAGACGGCGUUCUGCGUUGUAAACUGCUUUUAUACGGGAAGAAAAGGCCCAUGCGUGGGACAUUGCCGGUACCGUAUGAAUAAGCACCGGCUAACUCCGUGCCAGCAGCCGCGGUAAUACGGAGGGUGCAAGCGUUGUCCGGAUUUAUUGGGUUUAAAGGGUGCGUAGGCGGCCGGUUAAGUCAGCGGUGAAAGUUUAUGGCUCAACCAUGAAAUUGCCGUUGAUACUGGCUGGCUUGAGUGUCGAUGGGGUACAUGGAAUUUAUGGUGUAGCGGUGAAAUGCAUAGAUACCAUAAGGAACACCGAUAGCGAAGGCAUUGUACUUAUCGACAACUGACGCUGAGGCACGAAAGCGCGGGUAGCGAACAGGAUUAGAUACCCUGGUAGAAUCGA
Molecule: ribosomal RNA, 459 nt
Filed under: uncultured Cyclobacteriaceae bacterium
Lineage: Bacteria; Pseudomonadati; Bacteroidota; Cytophagia; Cytophagales; Cyclobacteriaceae
Description: bacterial SSU rRNA
Rfam family: Bacterial small subunit ribosomal RNA
Source: RNAcentral